This 254-nucleotide ribosomal RNA is filed under the name uncultured bacterium. Its description in RNAcentral is "partial 16S ribosomal RNA". It matches the Rfam family "Bacterial small subunit ribosomal RNA", at positions 524 to 776 of the family's 1533-position model. The record is from RNAcentral.
UACGGGGGGAGCAAGCGUUGUUCGGAUUUACUGGGCGUAAAGGGCGCGUAGGCGGUCGUGACAAGUCACUUGUGAAAUCUCCGGGCUUAACUCGGAACGGUCAAGUGAUACUGUCGGACUAGAGUACAGAAGGGGCAACUGGAAUUCUCGGUGUAGCGGUGAAAUGCGUAGAUAUCGAGAGGAACACCGGUGGCGAAGGCGGUGCUCUGGGCCAGUACUGACGCUGAGGAGCGAAAGCGUGGGUAGCAAACAGG